UAGGGAAUAUUGCGCAAUGGACGAAAGUCUGACGCAGCAACUCCGCGUGGAGGAAGACGGUCUUCGGAUUGUAAACUCCUUUUAUGAGGGAAGAAAAAAUUAAAAUUGACGGUACCUCAUGAAUAAGCAACGGCUAAAUACGUGCCAGCAGCCGCGGUAAUACGUAUGUUGCAAGCGUUACUCGGAAUCACUGGGCGUAAAGCGUACGUAGGCGGACUAAUAAGUCAGGAGUGAAAUUUUGGGGCUCAACCCCGAACGUGCUUUUGAAACUGUUAGUCUUGAGUAUAUGAGGGGAAGAUGGAAUUCCUGGUGUAGCGGUGGAAUGCGUAGAUAUCAGGAAGAACACCGGUGGCGAAGGCGGUCUUCUGGCAUAAUACUGACGCUGAUGUACGAAAGCGUGGGGAGCAAACAGG
This 413-nucleotide ribosomal RNA is filed under the name uncultured Fibrobacterota bacterium. Its description in RNAcentral is "bacterial SSU rRNA". It matches the Rfam family "Bacterial small subunit ribosomal RNA", at positions 355 to 776 of the family's 1533-position model. Lineage: Bacteria; Pseudomonadati; Fibrobacterota. The record is from RNAcentral.